This 103-nucleotide microRNA precursor is filed under the name Canis lupus familiaris (dog). Its description in RNAcentral is "mir-8834 microRNA precursor family". It matches the Rfam family "mir-8834 microRNA precursor family". RNAcentral also lists the same sequence under 1 other name. Lineage: Eukaryota; Metazoa; Chordata; Mammalia; Carnivora; Canidae. The record is from Rfam by way of RNAcentral.
AGGAACAGCAGCACUGGCAGCGGCCAGCUCUGGAGCCCUGGAGUCAGCUCCCGCAGGAACUCCGGAGCUCUCCGUCUGCAGGGCCUGGAGGCUCCGGCGCGGG